CAGUAGCCGCGGUGAGACAGAGGAUGCAAGAGUUAUUCGGAAUUACUGGGCGUAAAGCGCACGUAGGCGGUUAUUCAAGUCAGAGGUGAAAGCCCGGGGCUCAACCCCGGAACUGCCUUCGAAACUAGAUGACUGGAAUCUUGGAGAGGUCAGUGGAAUUCCGAGUGUAGAGGUGAAAUUCGUAGAUAUUCGGAAGAACACCAGUGGCGAAGGCGACUGACUGGACAAGUAUUGACGCUGAGGUGCGAAAGCGUGGGGAGCAAGCAGGAUUAGAUACCCGUGUAGUCCCUGUCUCUUAUAA
RNAcentral lists this ribosomal RNA (301 nucleotides) under uncultured bacterium. RNAcentral's name for it is "partial 16S ribosomal RNA". It matches the Rfam family "Bacterial small subunit ribosomal RNA", at positions 509 to 809 of the family's 1533-position model. The record is from RNAcentral.